CACGUGGGAACGUGCCUUUAGGUUCGGAACAACACAGGGAAACUUGUGCUAAUACCGGAUGUGCCCUUCGGGGGAAAGAUUUAUCGCCUUUAGAGCGGCCCGCGUCUGAUUAGCUAGUUGGUGAGGUAAAGGCUCACCAAGGCUACGAUCAGUAGCUGGUCUGAGAGGAUGGCCAGCCACAUUGGGACUGAGACACGGCCCAAACUCCUACGGGAGGCAGCAGUGGGGAAUAUUGCACAAUGGGCGAAAGCCUGAUGCAGCCAUGCCGCGUGUGUGAAGAAGGCUCUAGGGGUUGUAAAG
Molecule: ribosomal RNA, 300 nt
Filed under: uncultured Caulobacteraceae bacterium
Lineage: Bacteria; Pseudomonadati; Pseudomonadota; Alphaproteobacteria; Caulobacterales; Caulobacteraceae
Description: bacterial SSU rRNA
Rfam family: Bacterial small subunit ribosomal RNA
Source: RNAcentral